AGAGUUUGAUCCUGGCUCAGAUUGAACGCCGGCGGAAUGCUUUACACAUGCAAGUCGAACGGCAGCACGGGGGCAACCCUGGUGGCGAGUGGCGAACGGGUGAGUAAUACAUCGGAACGUGCCCAGUCGUGGGGGAUAACGUAGCGAAAGCUACGCUAAUACCGCAUACGAUCUACGGAUGAAAGCGGGGGAUCGCAAGACCUCGCGCGAUUGGAGCGGCCGAUGGCAGAUUAGGUAGUUGGUGGGGUAAAGGCUCACCAACCCCGCGAUCUGUAGCUGGUCUGAGAGGACGACCAGCCACACUGGGACUGAGACACGGCCCAGACUCCUACGGGAGGCAGCAGUGGGGAAUUUUGGACAAUGGGCGCAAGCCUGAUCCAGCCAUUCCGCGUGCAGGAUGAAGGCCUUCGGGUUGUAAACUGCUUUUGUACGGAACGAAAAGGCUCCCUCUAAUACAGGGGGCUCAUGACG
This 471-nucleotide ribosomal RNA is filed under the name uncultured Comamonadaceae bacterium. RNAcentral's name for it is "bacterial SSU rRNA". It matches the Rfam family "Bacterial small subunit ribosomal RNA", at positions 8 to 474 of the family's 1533-position model. Lineage: Bacteria; Pseudomonadati; Pseudomonadota; Betaproteobacteria; Burkholderiales; Comamonadaceae. The record is from RNAcentral.